AGCUAUGAUAAAUUUUUUGAUAUUUUUACUGAAAACAAGACAAAAAUACCAAGUAAUUUUUUGCAGUGUGACUCCAUUAAAUGUGUGUGUGUGUGUGUGUGUGUGUGUGUGUGUGUGUGUGUGUGUAUUAAACAUGAACGGGCCAAAACGGACAUGGCAGCAGGUCAAAAUCAAAUACAAGAACAUUCUGCAGAAUGCAGUGAAAAAGAAUACCCACAGACAAGGCACGGGUGGUGGGUCACCAAAGGCUGACCUUACCCCAGCAGAGGACAUGGCCUUGGAGCUAAAUAAAGGCAGGCCCGUCUUAGAG
Oncorhynchus tshawytscha (Chinook salmon) is the source of this 310-nucleotide long non-coding RNA. The record is from Ensembl. NCBI's taxonomy places the organism in Eukaryota, Metazoa, Chordata, Actinopteri, Salmoniformes, Salmonidae.